This is a long non-coding RNA of Gallus gallus (chicken), 1133 nucleotides long. The record is from Ensembl. Lineage: Eukaryota; Metazoa; Chordata; Aves; Galliformes; Phasianidae.
CUUACAUUGAAGUCUCUUAUAGGUUCUUCAUUCCUGCUGGCUCUUCUCUUCACCUUUUAUAGGUUGAAUGGAAUAACAGGUUUACUACCACAUGAACAAAUGGAAAUACUGCUUUCCAGGCAUUAAAGUUAAUAAACACUGGUAAAGGAGCAGAGCUGCUUUCUGGCACAAGGCAAUGAAAUUUAUUGGAGCAAGGAAAGCUUUGUUUACAGAAAGUUUCUAGCUCUGCCACAGUCUUACCUUGAGCUUUGAAACAGACUGUUACUUCACCAUUGAAUUCUUAAAGGAGGUCUUUAAUCCAGAGACAACUUUUCAAGGAUACCAGAUGCAAACCAAAUCUGUUUAGAGGAUUUAUCUCGUCUUUCUGUUGCCUUCUGCUACUUGUCAGAUGUGUAUGUUUAAAUAAGGGAUUGUUCUGACAUAACCCAUUGAAUUGGCCUGCUUGAUGCUGUGAAAUUGUAGUUCUGUAGUCAUGGUUGUGUCCUCUAUCUCAGGAAAAGUAGAAGUUGGGUCAGCUAACUUGUCCCCUGUGGGAUUUCCACUAGAAUAUAUGAAGGAUGUUCUUUUUUUGUUUGUUUUGUUUAACUCUGCAAAUAUAGUAGACCACAAGAAUCCAUGGAAAUCAGUGGUCCUUCAGAGAGAAAUCAGAGCAAAACUAUUAUACAUGUGUGUAUAUAUGUUUGCUGGAAAGUUGCACUAAAAUCACUUGUAAUCCACCCCAUUUUGCUGCUUUUUCCAACAACUGAAGACAUUAUUUAACAGCCUGAUGAUCUGUAAGUAAGCCCAUUUUUCUUUGAAGUGUCAUUUUGUGAUUAUUCUGUUAAAUUCAAAUGGCAAACUGAGUAAAAAUGUAGUUCAGAAAGGAAUCAGAGUGAAAUGUAUGUGGAAUCAAGAUACUCCAUGCAUCAAACUCAGGUGGUAAGCAUGCUUGAGCUAACCCAGAGAACUUGAAGAAGGCUUGACACGUGCAGCCAUUUGAGUACCAGUGCCAAGAGGAAGUGACAAAGCAGCUCCUAGGGCAAUAUGGAUCUCCAGCUGAUCAGCUAAGAUCUCCUUCUUCAGUGAUGCUCCCGUUCUCAUUUUCUUCAAACUCAGAUAUUCCAACAGGGAAGAGAAUGUUUUCACAGUCCGAG